This 440-nucleotide ribosomal RNA is filed under the name uncultured bacterium. RNAcentral's name for it is "partial 16S ribosomal RNA". It matches the Rfam family "Bacterial small subunit ribosomal RNA", at positions 338 to 795 of the family's 1533-position model. The record is from RNAcentral.
CCUACGGGUGGCAGCAGUAGGGAAUAUUGCUCAAUGGGGGAAACCCUGAAGCAGCAACGCCGCGUGGAGGAUGAAGGUUUUCGGAUUGUAAACUCCUUUUGUUAGAGAAGAUAAUGACGGUAUCUAACGAAUAAGCACCGGCUAACUCCGUGCCAGCAGCCGCGGUAAUACGGAGGGUGCAAGCGUUACACGGAAUCACUGGGCGUAAAGAGUGCGUAGGCGGGAUAGCAAGUCAGAUGUGAAAUCCUAGGGCUUAACCGAAGAACUGCAUUUGAAACUGUUAUUCUAGAGUAUGGGAGAGGUAGGUGGAAUUCUUGGUGUAGGGAUAAAAGCCGUAGAGAUCAGGAGGAAUACUCAUUGCGAAGGCGACCUACUAGAAAGUAACUGACGCUGAGGCGCGAAAGCGUGGGGAGCAAACAGGAUGAGAUACCCCUGUAGUC